This 253-nucleotide ribosomal RNA is filed under the name uncultured bacterium. RNAcentral describes it as "partial 16S ribosomal RNA". It matches the Rfam family "Bacterial small subunit ribosomal RNA", at positions 524 to 776 of the family's 1533-position model. The record is from RNAcentral.
GACGAACCGUCCGAACGUUAUUCGGAAUCACUGGGCUUAAAGGGUGCGUAGGCGGCGCGGAAAGUUGGGUGUGAAAUCCCUCGGCUUAACCGAGGAACGGCGCCCAAAACUACCGUGCUCGAGGGAGAUAGAGGUGAGCGGAACUUAGGGUGGAGCGGUGAAAUGCGUUGAUAUCAAGCGGAACACCGGUGGCGAAGGCGGCCUUCUGGACAGUGACUGACGCUGAGACGCGAAAGCGUGGGGAGCAAACAGG